This 254-nucleotide long non-coding RNA is filed under the name Setaria italica (foxtail millet). RNAcentral's name for it is "long non-coding RNA (SITA_LNC007548)". The record is from RNAcentral. Lineage: Eukaryota; Viridiplantae; Streptophyta; Magnoliopsida; Poales; Poaceae.
AGCGGUGCAUCGCAGGCUCGCAGCACGCGCAUGGCCGUAUGGCUGUAUCUGGAAUUCUGAAUCCCCAUGGAAUCCUGAGCAGCUACAGCAAUGGGCUGCAGGCAAAGCUAAUCACAUGGCUCGCUAGCUCUGCAUGCCUGCCGUGCAGCGGCAGCCUCCAGCUCGGCUCGAUGCUAGGCUGCCUACACUUGUCUCGCUCUCGCCUCUCGACUCUUCCUUCCUUACUUGUUUAGUCCUCGCUUCUCUUCUUCUUC